GCUUAGAGUUUGAUCCUGGCUCAGGAUGAACGCUAGCGGAAGGCCUAAUACAUGCAAGUUGAACGUGCUAGCAAUAGUAACGUAGCGGACGGGUGCGUAACGCGUAUGGAACCUACCUAUAAGAGGAGGAUAUACUAUGGAAACGUAGGGUAAUACUCCAUAAUUUUAUUUAUUUGCAUGAAUAGAUAAAAAAAGGCUUUGAGUCGCUUAUAGAUGGUCAUGCGUCCCAUUAGCUAGUUGGUAGAGGUAACGGCCUACCAAGGCGACAAUGGGUAACUGGUCUGAGAGGAUGAUCAGUCACACUGGAACUGAGACACGGUCCAGACUCCUACGGGAGGCAGCAGUAGGGAAUAUUGGGCAAUGGGCGCAAGCCUGACCCAGCCAUUCCGCGUGCAGGAAGAAGGUUCUCUGAAUUGUAAACUGCUUUAGUAUCUGAGUAAGUAUUUAUAUGGGCUAUAGAUAUUGAAAGUAAGAUAAGAAUAAGCACCGGCUAACUACGUGCCAGCAGCCGCGGUAAUACGUAGGGUGCAAGCGUUGUCCGGAAUUACUGGGUUUAAAGGGUGCGUAGGCGGGUCAAUAAGUGUAAUGUUAAAAGUAUCAGCUUAACUGAUAGCAGGCGUUACAUACUGUUGGUCUAGAAUGUUUGUGAGGCUACUGGAACGACUGGAGUAGAGGUGAAAUUCGUAGAUAUCAGUCAGAACACCGAUUGCGUAGGCAGGUAGCUAACAAAAGAUUGACACUGAGGCACGAAAGCGUGGGGAUCAAACAGGAUUAGAUACCCUGGUAGUCCACGCUGUAAACGUUGGUUACUAGACGUUCGUUAAUAAAGAUGAGUGUUUAAGCGCAAGCGAUAAGUAACCCACCUGGGGAGUACGUUCGCAAGGAUGAAACUCAAAGGAAUUGACGGGGGCCCGCACAAGCGGUGGAGCAUGUGGUUUAAUUCGACGAUACGCGAGGAACCUUACCUAGGCUAGGAUGUGAGUGCCACCUGUAGAGAUAUGGGAUAUUAUAGCAAUAUAACACGAAACAAGGUGCUGCAUGGUUGUCGUCAGCUCGUGCCGUGAGGUGUUGGGUUAAGUCCCGCAACGAGCGCAACCCUUGUAUUUAUUUACCAAUAUUAAGUUAGGUACUAUAAAUAGACUGCCGGCGUAAGCUGCGAGGAAGGUGGGGACGACGUCAAAUCAUCAUGGCCCUUACGCCUAGGGCUACACACGUGCUACAAUGGUAAGUACAAAGAGAAGCGAAAUAGUGAUAUAGAGCGGAUCUCAAAAAGCUUAUCUCAGUUCGGAUUGUAGUCUGCAACUCGACUACAUGAAGCUGGAAUCGCUAGUAAUCGCAGAUCAGAAUGCUGCGGUGAAUACGUUCCCGGGCCUUGUACACACCGCCCGUCAAGCCAUGAAAGUUCGGGGUGCCUGAAGUAUUUUAUAAGAGUAUAAAGGCAAAACGGAUAAUUGGGGCUAAGUCGUAACAAGGUAACCAAGCC
This 1483-nucleotide ribosomal RNA is filed under the name uncultured bacterium. RNAcentral's name for it is "partial 16S ribosomal RNA". It matches the Rfam family "Bacterial small subunit ribosomal RNA". The record is from RNAcentral.